AUUGAACGCUGGCGGCAGGCCUAACACAUGCAAGUCGAGCGGAUGAAGGGAGCUUGCUCCUGGAUUCAGCGGCGGACGGGUGAGUAAUGCCUAGGAAUCUGCCUGGUAGUGGGGGAUAACGUCCGGAAACGGGCGCUAAUACCGCAUACGUCCUGAGGGAGAAAGUGGGGGAUCUUCGGACCUCACGCUAUCAGAUGAGCCUAGGUCGGAUUAGCUAGUUGGUGGGGUAAAGGCCUACCAAGGCGACGAUCCGUAACUGGUCUGAGAGGAUGGUCAGUCACAUUGGAACUGAGACACGGUCCAGACUCCUACGGGAGGCAGCAGUGGGGAAUAUUGGACAAUGGGCGAAAGCCUGAUCCAGCCAUGCCGCGUGUGUGAAGAAGGUCUUCGGAUUGUAAAGCACCUUAAGUUGGGAGGAAGGGCAGUAAGUUAAUACCUUGCUGUUUUGACGUUACCAACAGAAUAAGCACCGGCUAACUUCGUG
RNAcentral lists this ribosomal RNA (484 nucleotides) under uncultured bacterium. Its description in RNAcentral is "partial 16S ribosomal RNA". It matches the Rfam family "Bacterial small subunit ribosomal RNA", at positions 30 to 507 of the family's 1533-position model. The record is from RNAcentral.